Molecule: long non-coding RNA, 378 nt
Filed under: Equus asinus (donkey)
Lineage: Eukaryota; Metazoa; Chordata; Mammalia; Perissodactyla; Equidae
Description: lncRNA (ENSEASG00005033853.1)
Source: RNAcentral
AAAGAUCCAGGCACAUUCAGGAGUUACACUUUUCUCACUGAACAUGUAAACAAAUGCACUCUAUGGACUUGCAGCCUUUCAAGAGAAAGAAGUAAAGACUCAGUAUACUAAAUGCUUCAGAGCCAAGAUGAUCUUCUCAGUGACAGAAACAACAAAGCAAGACAAGACCCUGUGGAAGUCAACAGAAAGUUCGCUAAUAUGAAUAUUAAACUUUCAUACUAUGAGUCUACAGUGGCUGGAACCACAUUGUACUUAUCUUUCUGUUUAUGAUUCAGACAUUUUGGACAUUCGAUAUAUUUGGAGGGAAGAAAACAAUAGCAAAAUUUGAAAACUAAAAUAAAUUAAAUAAAAUGUUAUGUAAACAUCACUGCUGAACAU